Molecule: small RNA, 31 nt
Filed under: Bombyx mori (domestic silkworm)
Lineage: Eukaryota; Metazoa; Arthropoda; Insecta; Lepidoptera; Bombycidae
Description: ovarian small RNA-27529
Source: RNAcentral
UCCGCGAACGUUGCGUCGCGACUACGGCGGC